This is a long non-coding RNA of Hydra vulgaris (swiftwater hydra), 438 nucleotides long. RefSeq lists it as uncharacterized. The record is from RefSeq and is a predicted model, not a curated record. NCBI's taxonomy places the organism in Eukaryota, Metazoa, Cnidaria, Hydrozoa, Anthoathecata, Hydridae.
UUUGUUUUUUUUGAAGAUUUUUUUAUACCUUUAGUAAUCCAUGGACAUAUUUUAUUAUAGGGAAGUGCUUUUUUUAUAGGGAAGUGCUUAUCAUAGUGCUUUAAGAAUAUUUCUAUAAAUUCAUUAUAAGCGGAGUUGGUAUGCCAAAGGUUGCAUUCUUGGUACAUCCUGUCCACUUCACUGCCGAUAAAAAAGUAUAUCGAAAAGUGAUCGAAUAUAUCCGUUUUGAUUACAUCUGCUUUUAAUGAAGUAUCAUAAAACGAAUUAGUCAAUAUGAUGUCUAUUGCAGUGAUUGAAUUUAAUGUUAUCAGAGUUGGUUUGUUUACUAUAGGAAAUAUGUACUGUUGAAACAUAUCGUCAAAAAAAGUUUUGGUAUCAGCAUAUUAAUUGUAAUGUAGAAAGUUUAUAUUUAUGUCCCCAAUACAGAAUAAUAUUUUA